GGAAACUGGUGCAGCCAAGGAUGACUUGCCGGUGUUAGCGAUUGCCAAUCGUAUUCAUAUGCUUAACUAUAUCGAUCCGUGUCGGCAAGUUGUCCUUGGCUAUUUUGGUUUCUCU
Lupinus angustifolius (narrow-leaved blue lupine) is the source of this 115-nucleotide microRNA precursor. NCBI's taxonomy places the organism in Eukaryota, Viridiplantae, Streptophyta, Magnoliopsida, Fabales, Fabaceae. The record is from Rfam.